This 2916-nucleotide ribosomal RNA is filed under the name Klebsiella pneumoniae. RNAcentral's name for it is "23S ribosomal RNA". It matches the Rfam family "Bacterial large subunit ribosomal RNA". The record is from RNAcentral. Lineage: Bacteria; Pseudomonadati; Pseudomonadota; Gammaproteobacteria; Enterobacterales; Enterobacteriaceae.
GGGUUGUGAGGUUAAGCGACUAAGCGUACACGGUGGAUGCCCUGGCAGUCAGAGGCGAUGAAGGACGUGCUAAUCUGCGAAAAGCGUCGGUAAGGUGAUAUGAACCGUUAUAACCGGCGAUGUCCGAAUGGGGAAACCCAGUGUGAUUCGUCACACUAUCGUUAACUGAAUACAUAGGUUAACGAGGCGAACCGGGGGAACUGAAACAUCUAAGUACCCGAGGAAAAGAAAUCAACCGAGAUUCCCCAGUAGCGGCGAGCGAACGGGGAGCAGCCCAGAGUCUGAAUCAGCUUGUGUGUUAGUGGAACGGUCUGGAAAGUCCGACGGUACAGGGUGAUAGUCCCGUACACCAAAAUGCACAGGCUGUGAACUCGAAGAGUAGGGCGGGACACGUGGUAUCCUGUCUGAAUAUGGGGGACCAUCCUCCAAGGCUAAAUACUCCUGACUGACCGAUAGUGAACCAGUACCGUGAGGGAAAGGCGAAAAGAACCCCGGCGAGGGAGUGAAAAAGAACCUGAAACCGUGUACGUACAAGCAGUGGGAGCACCUUCGGGUGUGACUGCGUACCUUUUGUAUAAUGGGUCAGCGACUUAUAUUCUGUAGCAAGGUUAACCGUAUAGGGGAGCCGCAGGGAAACCGAGUCUUAACUGGGCGUUAAGUUGCAGGGUAUAGACCCGAAACCCGGUGAUCUAGCCAUGGGCAGGUUGAAGGUUGGGUAACACUAACUGGAGGACCGAACCGACUAAUGUUGAAAAAUUAGCGGAUGACUUGUGGCUGGGGGUGAAAGGCCAAUCAAACCGGGAGAUAGCUGGUUCUCCCCGAAAGCUAUUUAGGUAGCGCCUCGUGAACUCAUCUUCGGGGGUAGAGCACUGUUUCGGCUAGGGGGUCAUCCCGACUUACCAACCCGAUGCAAACUACGAAUACCGAAGAAUGUUAUCACGGGAGACACACGGCGGGUGCUAACGUCCGUCGUGAAGAGGGAAACAACCCAGACCGCCAGCUAAGGUCCCAAAGUCAUGGUUAAGUGGGAAACGAUGUGGGAAGGCACAGACAGCCAGGAUGUUGGCUUAGAAGCAGCCAUCAUUUAAAGAAAGCGUAAUAGCUCACUGGUCGAGUCGGCCUGCGCGGAAGAUGUAACGGGGCUAAACCAUGCACCGAAGCUGCGGCAGCGACACUAUGUGUUGUUGGGUAGGGGAGCGUUCUGUAAGCCUGCGAAGGUGACCUGUGAGGGUUGCUGGAGGUAUCAGAAGUGCGAAUGCUGACAUAAGUAACGAUAAAGCGGGUGAAAAGCCCGCUCGCCGGAAGACCAAGGGUUCCUGUCCAACGUUAAUCGGGGCAGGGUGAGUCGACCCCUAAGGCGAGGCCGAAAGGCGUAGUCGAUGGGAAACAGGUUAAUAUUCCUGUACUUGGUGUUACUGCGAAGGGGGACGGAGAAGGCUAUGUUAGCCGGGCGACGGUUGUCCCGGUUUAAGCAUGUAGGCUGGUUAUCCAGGCAAAUCCGGAUAAUCAAGGCUGAGGUGUGAUGACGAGGCACUACGGUGCUGAAGUAACAAAUGCCCUGCUUCCAGGAAAAGCCUCUAAGCAUCAGGUAACAUCAAAUCGUACCCCAAACCGACACAGGUGGUCAGGUAGAGAAUACCAAGGCGCUUGAGAGAACUCGGGUGAAGGAACUAGGCAAAAUGGUGCCGUAACUUCGGGAGAAGGCACGCUGGUGUGUAGGUGAAGCCCCUGCGGGUGGAGCUGAGACCAGUCGAAGAUACCAGCUGGCUGCAACUGUUUAUUAAAAACACAGCACUGUGCAAACACGAAAGUGGACGUAUACGGUGUGACGCCUGCCCGGUGCCGGAAGGUUAAUUGAUGGGGUUAUCCGUAAGGAGAAGCUCUUGAUCGAAGCCCCGGUAAACGGCGGCCGUAACUAUAACGGUCCUAAGGUAGCGAAAUUCCUUGUCGGGUAAGUUCCGACCUGCACGAAUGGCGUAAUGAUGGCCAGGCUGUCUCCACCCGAGACUCAGUGAAAUUGAACUCGCUGUGAAGAUGCAGUGUACCCGCGGCAAGACGGAAAGACCCCGUGAACCUUUACUAUAGCUUGACACUGAACAUUGAGCCUUGAUGUGUAGGAUAGGUGGGAGGCUUUGAAGCGUGGACGCCAGUCUGCGUGGAGCCAACCUUGAAAUACCACCCUUUAAUGUUUGAUGUUCUAACGUUGGCCCCUUACCGGGGUUGCGGACAGUGUCUGGUGGGUAGUUUGACUGGGGCGGUCUCCUCCCAAAGCGUAACGGAGGAGCACGAAGGUUAGCUAAUCCUGGUCGGACAUCAGGAGGUUAGUGCAAUGGCAUAAGCUAGCUUGACUGCGAGCGUGACGGCGCGAGCAGGUGCGAAAGCAGGUCAUAGUGAUCCGGUGGUUCUGAAUGGAAGGGCCAUCGCUCAACGGAUAAAAGGUACUCCGGGAUAACAGGCUGAUACCGCCCAAGAGUUCAUAUCGACGGCGGUGUUUGGCACCUCGAUGUCGGCUCAUCACAUCCUGGGGCUGAAGUAGGUCCCAAGGGUAUGGCUGUUCGCCAUUUAAAGUGGUACGCGAGCUGGGUUUAGAACGUCGUGAGACAGUUCGGUCCCUAUCUGCCGUGGGCGCUGGAGAAUUGAGGGGGCUGCUCCUAGUACGAGAGGACCGGAGUGGACGCAUCACUGGUGUUCGGGUUGUCAUGCCAAUGGCACUGCCCGGUAGCUAAAUGCGGAAGAGAUAAGUGCUGAAAGCAUCUAAGCACGAAACUUGCCCCGAGAUGAGUUCUCCCUGAGACUUUAAGUCUCCUGAAGGAACGUUGAAGACGACGACGUUGAUAGGCCGGGUGUGUAAGCGCAGCGAUGCGUUGAGCUAACCGGUACUAAUGAACCGUGAGGCUUAACCUUACAACGCCGAAG